Molecule: long non-coding RNA, 778 nt
Organism: Agrilus planipennis (emerald ash borer)
Lineage: Eukaryota; Metazoa; Arthropoda; Insecta; Coleoptera; Buprestidae
Exons: 2
Source: RefSeq, a predicted model, not a curated record
UAUGCUGUAACGUUUUGAAUUAUUUAGGUGGUAAUUACAAACGAAAUGACUACAAAAAUUUCCUCAGUUAACGAAAUAUCAACAGUACCUUCAUUUGGAAGUAGCUACUAUCACAAAGUAAACACUAGAAUUCAGUUGUGUAAACUAUCAAGAGACGUUUUUAAGGCUAUGCUUAUAAAGAGUGCUUCAAAACCUUUUAGAGAAGUUUCCUUCCAACUAGCUUUAUAAAUUCUAUGCCCAUAUACAGUACGUGGAUAGAUAUAGAUUAAUAAAUGAGCUAAUCAAGAAAAUAUUACAAGGGAAGAUGAAGAUACUUCUUUCUACAUCAUUCUAUUUUUUUUUUUUAAUGCAUAAUUAUAAACUACAGUAAUAAAAAUGAGGCGCCAGGGUAGAACUUUAGAUCCCUUAGAUCACAUGUGUACUAAUAAUAUGGGUGCUUAAUUCCCAAAAGCUACUAAUUCUGAUAAGCAGAUUAUCCCUCCAAUCCACACUGGGGUCAGGUCUAAGCAAAGCUAGAGGGUAGAGCAGAAACAAGAAAGCCCUCUUCAGCCUCCUUUUCGGAAUUAUUGGAAUAGGUCAAUUUCUGUGCUCUUUUAAAUCUUGGAGUAUAAAAAUGAAAUGGAUGAUGGACUUGUUCCUUUAUUUUUAGUUAUUAGAUUUUACUUUUGCAUCUUAUAUUACUUGAACACUCCUUAUUCCAUAAUAAUUCACAAUCUCUCUGAAAUGUAUUAUUUUCUUUCUAUAAGCAUUAUUAAUAAAAUGACAACAUAUCUGUGAU